This 263-nucleotide small RNA is filed under the name Lupinus albus (white lupine). RNAcentral's name for it is "hypothetical ncRNA". Lineage: Eukaryota; Viridiplantae; Streptophyta; Magnoliopsida; Fabales; Fabaceae. The record is from RNAcentral.
UCUCUACCAUGGUGGUUUAAAGAAUAGUAUGCAAUAAUAGAAACUGUUUCAAUCUAUAGAGUUCUGGGAGUAGUUCUUUGAAAAGGCCAAAGCCGUGAAUGGAAGAGGAUGCUUACUUCUUACCAAGAAGAUGUACACAUGGAAGUAUCUGUAAUUAUUGUGUAGUUAAUUAUAAGUGGUAAAUAUACAUUGGACGAGUUACUACAAUAAACCAUCAUAGAUGUUGGUAACUGUCAAUAAAAUAUUUCAACAGUUUACCUUUC